Molecule: long non-coding RNA, 2543 nt
Organism: Equus caballus (horse)
Lineage: Eukaryota; Metazoa; Chordata; Mammalia; Perissodactyla; Equidae
Source: Ensembl
UGAAGACACAGACACAGAAGAAAGAUGGCCAUGUGAAUUUAGAGGUAGAGACUGGAGUUAUGCUGCCACAAGCCAAAGACACCUGGGGCUACCAGAAGCUGGAAGAGGCAAGGAAGGGUCAUUCUCUAGAGACUUUGGAAGAAGUUGACCCUGCCAGCAUCUUGAUUUUGGACUGCUAGCCUCCAGAACUGUGAGAGAAUAAAUUUCUAUUGUUUAAGCCACUAGUCUGUGGCAGCCAUAGUAAACGAAUAAAAUAGGUUUCAAGAAUUAGGAUGUGGGCAUUGUUAGGAGCUAUUAUUCUACCAACCACACCACAGACUCAAGAAGUUCAAGAAACCCCAAGCCCAAGAAACUUGAAGAAAAGUACACCAAGGCACAUCAUAAUUAAGUUGUUGAAAAUCACCGAUAAAAACAAAAGGUCUAGAAGCAGUCAGAGCAAAGAGACACCUUACAUACAGAGGAACAAAGGAGUACAUUCUAGAAGCAGAUUCUAAUCAGAAACAAUGCCAGUGAGAAGUGAUUAGAACAAUAUCUUAAAAGUCCUGAAAGAUAAAAACUAUCAACCUUGAAUUCUAUACCCAGCAAAAAUAUCCUUUGAAAGUGAAUGCAGAUAGACAUUUUCAGACGUACAAAAGCUGAAAACAUUCAUCACCAGCAGACCACAGCUAGAAGAAAUGUUUAAGUCUUUCAGGUGGAAAGAAAAUGAUCCUAGAUGGAAAUCUGGAUCUACAUUAAGGAUGGAAGAACACCAGAAAUGGUAACUACACAGGAAAAGAAUAUCUGUGCAAGGCAAAUAAUUUGGAAAUGGAUUAACCUGCCCAUUUUUCAUGGCCUUUCAAGUAUUCCCCUGGCACUACAGAGAUGAAAGGUGCCAUCAGCAUCUGAGGCCAUUCGGAAAUUUUAGUGACAAAUUGUGUGCCUGGGCCAUCUCAAAACCCUUUGUUGAGAUGGUGAAGCCACAGCAUGGAAGAAGCCUGGAUCCCAUGUGUCACCACUUGGAGGAGAGCAGACCAACCAGGAAUAUACACACUGUACUUUGUGAGAACAAAAAGUAAAGUUUUGGGGUUGUUUGUUCCAUCAAUUAGCCUACUCUGGUCAAUUCAGUCUGUAUCUCUAGAGUCCCUUCAAAGUCUAAUAUUCUAUAAUGCAAAGAGGUCCUUGAUUGAAAGUUGUUCCUCCCUUCGUUUGACUUUUCAUGAUAUAAUAAUAAAUGAAACUGUACAGAAUAACAGAAAGAAGGCCAGGGAAAAAUCCAGAACCAAGUAAAUUUGGGAUGUGCGCAACUUGAGGCUAUGUUGUACAUUUCCUGAGGACAAGGACCUGUACAUCUUUGAUCUCUUUAUAACCCCCUAUUUUUAUAUGUCAUAGGCGCUUAAUCAAUACUGUUGAAUGAAUGAAUGACUGUGUGGGGAGAAGCUAUCAAGUUCUGAUGAUCACAUACCUUGAGAAGUGCUAUGGUCUAAAUGUUUGUGUCUCUCCAAAAUUCGUACAUUGAAAUCCUAAUAUCCAAAGGUGAUGGCCUUGGUAGAUGGGGCCUUUUAGGAGGUGCUUAAGUCAUGAGGGCAGAGGCCUUAUAAAAGCCCUUUUAAAAGAGGCUCCAGAGAGCUAGCCUGCCCCUUCCACCACGUGAGGACACAGCAAGGAGGGGCCGGCUAAACCAGAAAGAGGACCAUCACCAAAACCCAACUCUGCUGGCACCUUCAUUUUAGACUGCCAGACUCCAGAACUGAAAGGAAUAAACUUGCAUUGUUUACAAGCCACCCAGUCUGUGGUAUUUUGUUGUAGCAGCCCGAAUGGACUAAGACAGGAAGCCAGGGCUGCUUAAUUUCUGGGUUAUCAUCAUCCUGAACUCAAUCCUGUCGUGUGUGGAUGAUGGUGCCUUUUCUGUUGGUGAAGGGGGUAAGAGCACAUGCUCUGGGCCCGGAGGAACCAGACAGGCUGGGCUAGAAUCCUCUGUGACCCUGCCUCUUCCUUAGCCCUUCCAUGCCUCAGUUUUCUUAGGUGUAAAAUAGGGAUAAAAAUGCUACAAAACUCCUAGGGUCCUCUUGAGGAUGAAAGGAGUUAACGCAGGUGAAGCAUGUAGCACAGACCUGCUACAAAGUUGAGUAACUUGGAGUUAUGACAAGAAUUCAAAAUGUCUCUAAGUUAAAUCAAGAGAAGACUCCACUCCCCUGUCUAGUUCUGCCACAGCCACUAUCUAAGCCGGUAUAGAUGCUGGCCUUGACAAGAUGCAGCAUGGCACUAGUAUUGUGCUCCAGCGUUGCCUUAUUAAAACAUCAUUAAGUCAUACUCACUCAAGUAAUCAGUGGUACUCAUGGAGCAAGAGUGUGGGUGAUGUGUGAACGAUUUCCUAAUGCAGAUGCCCUUCAGGGUCACCGACUGGCUGAAUGACCUAGAGGUCAAGGUGACUCAAGUUCCCCAAGUUUCAUUUUCUCAUGUGUAAAGUGAGGGAAGAACAAUUACCUACCAUGCAGGCUAUUGGAAGGAUGAAAUCAAAACAAUGUUCCUGAAGCUCAAUGUCUGGCAGGGAGAGGCACUCCUGG